UACGGAGCAUGGAUCAUCCGGUGCCUCGUGACAGUGUCGUGCUGCGCACAUUGUAAUCUGUUUGAGCAGUUUGCUGAGAUUGUGCGGUGUACAUGUAUAUACAAAAUACAUGUCGACUGUUGAUCGGAAGUAUGAUGCUCAGUGCUUUGUGUUUUGUUAAGUGCAGUGCUCUGAUUUUGUUGAGCGCAUUGCUUGAUAACCUGUCAAAUCUGGCGCAGCAACGACGAUAUUGCUGCUGUUUUGCGAUCAGCAUAUAAAUAUCAGGAGAUAACACGUGGAAGUUAAAAUAAAAUCAAAAUACACAUUUGAUGGCGAAUGAUGUUCAAUAAAUAUAUAAGAAAUGAUAAAGGAGGCCACUAUUUUGUCAAAACGCAUCGAUGUAAACUUCGGCAGUCUUCAACACAUUGAAAUUAGAAAAAAACUAGAGAGAGAAUUUAAAUUAUGAAGACUUUAUGCGACAAGCGUCGCGUAAAGUUUCUUAUAUCCGACGGCAUCAAUAUAUUGAACCUAAAGGUUAAGCAGUUAUAGCAGCAGUGUUGCCGUCGCCUCUCGUCUCUUGUCUCCUAUACUAUGUGGUGUUCAAUACAUAAUACGUAUUUUUCUUUAUAUUGUAUACUA
Molecule: long non-coding RNA, 618 nt
Organism: Odontomachus brunneus
Lineage: Eukaryota; Metazoa; Arthropoda; Insecta; Hymenoptera; Formicidae
Exons: 4
Source: RefSeq, a predicted model, not a curated record